Long non-coding RNA from Felis catus (domestic cat), 2532 nucleotides. RefSeq lists it as uncharacterized. NCBI's taxonomy places the organism in Eukaryota, Metazoa, Chordata, Mammalia, Carnivora, Felidae. The record is from RefSeq and is a predicted model, not a curated record. The transcript has 2 exons.
UCAGAUUCUGUGUCUCCCUCUCUCUCUGCCCCUCCCCUGCCCUCACUCUAUCUCUAUCAAAAAUAAACAUUAAAAAUUAAAAAAAUAAUCAAUAUGCUGAAGUGGCACAUUUUGGGGUAGACUGCCUUGGACUGCACAUGCCCACUUGUGUAGGUUAGGUCUUAGAUUUAGGCAGGUGCCUUGGAGCUCCAAGAGCCCACACCCAUGGCCCAGCCUCUCCAAAUGCUUGCCCUGUUCCAAGUUCGUGGGUACCCUGACUUGCAUGUUCUGCACAUGCUCAGUAUGUAUCCUAUCAGCUGGUCUUGGAAGCCAGUACCCUGCAGUCCUGUGCAACUUGGCCCAGUCACCAACCUUUUAUAGUCUCCUGGGUGGGGGGGUGGUGGGGAAUCCCAAAAUACUUCUGCAUCAGCUGCUUUGAACAGGAUAGUCCACAUUUGGACAGGCUGCCUGAUGGGGUACUGAGUUUUUCCAGCAGUCUUCCAAAGGUCUCUUACUGGAAGACUAUAGGCCAGUCUGCCUGGCCACAGCCUGGCAUGGCCAUCUAGAGUCCUUCAGCUUUGCCUUCAGGGAGAAUGUGUUCAUUUCUGUAGGUUACUGCUUGGGAUUAGGCAGAUGGAAGAUACCCCCAGUAUCCCUCUCCUGUGACAUGGCCUCACCCAACCCUGCCCUUUCUAGGUCCUUGACUACUCUGACCUGUGGACCUGUACAUGUGCAGUCUGUACUUUGUCAGCCAGCCCUUGGCUGUUUGGGACCCAAGCCAUUUUCAACUACCUUUCUAUCAGGGCAGAAGGAGCCCACCCCCAAAAAUCUGAGAUAGCAGCUUUAAACUGGUGACAAUCUGUUCCUGUUUGGACUGGCUGGCUAAUGGGGUCCUCGGCUUACCAGUAAUCAAGUCUCCCAAAUGUCUCUUAUUGGAACAUACCCUGGUCAAUUGGCAAGUAAGUGCAGAUUCCUCCAGCUUUGCUUUAAAAGAAAGAAGUGUGUCUAUGGAGGUUAGGGCUUGAAAUUAGGCAGAAUCCACACGCUCCCAACAUUAUGCUCUUGAUACCAGUGAUCUCCUGACACUUGCUAAGGUCCAGAUUCCCAGUGACCCUGGACUGUGCUGUCAAAGCACCUGGAGUCGGAAGCCCUUCAGCCAGCCUCAAGAAGUCAGGGCUCACCAGGCUAGUGUAGCUGGAAUUUGACCCCAAAUACCCACAAAAGUUUAAUAUAGAAGGUACCACCCCCAAGCAUCACCCUGGGGCAAUAGCUACAAACUGGAGACUGUCCAUUUCCAUUUGGACUUGCUGCCUAUAGGAUUCCAGAGCUUUUCCAGAAAACAGGGCUCCCAGGAGUGUCUUAUUUUAGAGGAUACCUUGGGAAGCCCUUCCUGCCCUGCCUUGCCAAGCCUGUCCAAUAACCCUGAGCUCUGGGUUCAGAGGGGUUAUUGCCCAUUGGGUCGGUUAGGGCUUAUGGGGACUCAUAGACCUUUUCCCUGUAAAAAUGAGUAAAGGAAACCUCAUGUAUAAUAGAGUCAAGAAGCCCUGAAAGAGGGAGCUCUCAUGCACAUACCACUCCUGCAGCCUGCUUAACCAGCGGGAAGAAAGAAGACUUAUCUUGUAUCUUGACAAGGUGGACAUUUAAUGCUGUCAGACAAGCAGAUCCAGAGAAGACCCCCAACAACUCUGAGGUUGGUGAACAAACAGGUGCAAAUACCCACAAAGUCAACUGAACUCAUUGCUUUCUUGCUGACCCUGGUGUUCUGAGGUUGAGUCUCUUUUAGACUUGGAGCUCUGCUCUCUUUUCAUUUUGACUUCUCUAGCUUUAUUUGAAAUCUGUUUUUGUUUUUAUGAAGGCAUCACCCUUCCCGGUGCAGGCUUUUUUGUUUCUCUUUUUUGAAGCUUCCCGGUCAGUCACUCAUUGUAUCCAAAAGGGAGGAAAACACAUGAUUCACAAUGUUUUAGAACAGUUGUUUAAAAAUAAGACCUCUCAUACUUAAGAUUCCUUUAUGAAUCCAAAGGCAAAUUAGGCUCCACCAGGUUAUUGAACCAGCAGCUAGUGCCUUUCUUGAAAAAAUGUGUCAACUUUUGAAGAAUUUGGAAUUAUAAUGGCCACUCUGGUAAAGCUUUCAGAUAAAUCCUCCUUAAGGAGCCCCCUUAAUGAGGAUUACAAACCUCAGAGAGACAAUGCAAUGCGUUCUUUGAUUGAUAUGCACAAUCUUCUAAAGACAAGGACUUUAAAAACAGUUCUGAAAGGAUCCAUACUUUAUACAAAUAAAUAAAAACUCUAAUAAAAGUCCUUAGCAAUCUGAGCAGGAAACUCUAACUUAGUCCACCUGCACAAUUUGGAUCCCCUUUAGUUGAACCCUUGAAUAAUGCAGGGAUUAGGGACAUCAUCCCCCUUACAAUAUAUACUUGUGUAUAUACGUUGUAUGCAAGUAUAACAUUUGACUCCCCCCCCCCAACUUAACUAAUAGCCUACUGUUGACAUAAGCAGUCAACACAUAUUUUGUAUGUUAUAUAUAUUAUAUAUUGUAUUCUUACAAAAAAUAAG